CAAUAUGAACCUAAUUUAUAACUUUUUCGAUUCUUUUAGACCUACUAUUAAAUCCUAUUGAUUAUAUAAAUUAAUUCACAGCAUUUCAGUUUCCCUAGUAUAAACUAUGUGUCAUUUGGUUAAAAUUUAAAUUGCAAUUUAUUUUUUUACAACCACACAUAAGUCAAAUAUUAGUAAAUAAAAUUGAGGGUUGUCAGUUUUAGAACCAAAAUUCUCUAAUUAGAAUAAAUCACUGCCAUGUAAUUUAGGUUUAAUUUUAUUACCUUGUAAAAUUUCAUACUCGGGUUCUAUUCCGGUUUUGUAAAAAUACUUUAAUAAAUAUUCAACAUACUUCUUUUUUAUUCUUAGAACGGGAUAAAAAUCUGUUUAUAGGGACAGUUAUAUAAAAUUAUACUUAAAAGUA
Molecule: ribosomal RNA, 403 nt
Filed under: Cyclops strenuus
Lineage: Eukaryota; Metazoa; Arthropoda; Copepoda; Cyclopoida; Cyclopidae
Description: partial 12S ribosomal RNA
Source: RNAcentral